This 260-nucleotide long non-coding RNA is filed under the name Hordeum vulgare. Its description in RNAcentral is "long non-coding RNA (HVUL_LNC016513)". Lineage: Eukaryota; Viridiplantae; Streptophyta; Magnoliopsida; Poales; Poaceae. The record is from RNAcentral.
AAGGAUGGAGUAGUAACCUGUGUUCUCUGCCAAUAAAUUCCGUCGACCAAUAUGGAAUCAAAGUAUCAAACCAUGCCUGGUGCGCGCGUCCAUCGUUACAGAGCCCUGCCAUUUGUGGCAGCGUCUUGGGCCAGACACCCAUCACCGGUGGUGCGCACGAGAGGCUGCAGGAUAAAACGAGAAACCGCACCCAUACAUAUAGGCAAACCUCUCCGUAAUCCAUGCCACGCCCGUGAACGGAACCAUCACGAGAGCAGGAC